RNAcentral lists this long non-coding RNA (8706 nucleotides) under Nicotiana tabacum (common tobacco). RNAcentral describes it as "long non-coding RNA (NTAB_LNC012318)". The record is from RNAcentral. Lineage: Eukaryota; Viridiplantae; Streptophyta; Magnoliopsida; Solanales; Solanaceae.
UGAUUUUUCCCUCGCAAAUUUCACUGACUCACCAACAUUAAUUGAUUUACAUUUUUUUGUGUUUUUGUUGAUUUCAAAGUUGAUUUUUGACUUGAGAGUUGUGUUCAUAAGAAAUUGUUUGGUUCUUCUGUGUGUGUCUUUGAGAUAGGGGUAAGGUCUGGGUUUGUUGUUGUUGAAUUUGCAGAGUUUUUCUUUAUAAGGUUUACAGGAAAAUCUGUUGCCACUGGUUUUGUGUUUUAUUUUGAAGAUUGUCUCAAUGAGCAACAUUGUCCAUUUUUAUCUGUUCCGGUCGCCUUUUUUUUCCUCCUAAGAUGAACUUUUGUUGAUUGAGAAAAUAAUACAAUAUCCUAUUUUUAAUGGCUGAUUUGCCUUUUUUCUUCCAGGAUUGUGAAUAUAACUAAAAUGACAAUCUUUUUAAUUGCUUAAUGAGACAGAACUGAUGCGUAGUAAGUGAGUGAUCAAAUGCCAUGAGACAUGGGUUCAUCCAACUAGAAAAACACUAGACAUGUCUAUUCUGUCCAUCUGGCAAGAAGGAUACUGCAAAUGUUGUAGGUUGAUUGUGUGGCAUUGCUUAAAUUUUCUAGACAAAAUCAGUAAAUUGCUGAAACGAAAUAAGUCUUGAACUGAUGUGGUGAAAAAUACUUGAUAAUGGAUGAUUUCUAUGUUACAUAAACUAACAGAGUGAAUUGCACGGUCACGAUAAACAAAACUGAGCCACCAAAAAGUGUGGCUUUCUGGAGAGUUUGGGAUCAUAUUUUGCUUCUCAUCCUUACUAAUUUAGCUAAUGUUUGUUGAGCAGCCAAAGUUUGAGCAUGGUUAUGACCCAGCAUUACGGUUCGGAUGCUAAUGCAAGUUCUGCAGAGAUCCUCUCCGCUAUCAAAAUGACCUCCUCUUAGUAACAGCUUUGCUCUAGCUUCCAGCAGGGUAGCUUUCAAUAAUGUCACCUCUUGCCAAACAUACUCGUCCACUCUUUGGUUGGAUUGCAGCUUCUUUUUCCAGCACAGAGAUCCGUGGCACCAGUCUUGUAUUUGAGAAACAAAUGACUUCUCUGCUUCUUCAAGCACAUUUGUGCAGACCUUCAAGAGUUCUAAGGCCGAGUUGCACCUUGAGAAUGUUGUGAAGGCACUAAUUGCCAAUGGAAGAGCUGUCUUUCUAAUGAAGAGAACCAUGUCUAUGGCCUUGAGCUGAAUGACUGGUGGUUCGGAUUUGAAACCAAAUACAAGGAAAGCACAUGACCAGAGAUGGUCAGAAUCUACUAGCGGGUUUCCAAUUUUCCUUGCACCUUGAACAUUGGCUUUGGCAGCAACUAAUCCAUCUUUCCUUUUAGCGAAGAUCUGAGUGAUGGGAUGGAAUUGGAUCCAGCAUCCAGGCUGCCUGUUGGCUUUUCGUGCCAAACCCAGUUUAACUAGAAGUAGUGCUGCUUCCUCUUCACUUUUCCAUGUCUGGCUUGUCAGGCAAUGCCCCGAGUAGAAGCAUAGAGCAACUUUCAUGCACUUAGUCCACAUCUUGAAUCUGUUUCUAUUUACAAGAAUUUUCUUUGCAGCUGCUGCCAGUAAAUUCACCGAGAUGGGUGCUGGAGCAAACCAUGCUCCUACCUGAAGCAUUCUUGAGGCAAGGGAGUCCCUGCUAUCGUUGCUUUGCUGCAAGAGGGCUGUACAGAAAACCAGUGUUUUCAUUAGAAAUGGAUUUGUUCUGCAGAACUGUUGAUGUGGAACGGACAGAUUAGAGCAAGUUGUGGCUUCUUCAACUGGAACCUGAUUCACAGCUUCGAAUAGAGCAGACGGCAAAAUUGCAAGCUCUGAUAGCAAGGAACCAACCGCCCAAAGACCAAAACUCGACCUCCCAAGUUUCUCAUCAAAUUUUUGGAGGAAUUCCACCUCUCCUGCUGGAUACUCCUUUUUACGUCUUCCCCUUAUCAAUAUCAUGGCAUCGGAUGUGGACAAUGGCUGAAGCUGCAAGGGAUCAACGUUCAUUACCUGGUUGAGCUGUGUUGUGAUAAUGACAUGGGUACCACCAGUGUUACUUGGUAUUAAAUCAUGAAGAUCCUUCCCUUCCCACCACUCCUUCUCAGUCUCUAAAUUAUCUAUAAUUAGUAAAUAUGGCAUGUCACGGAAUAUCUCCCGUUUAACUCUCUUGAAUGCUUCUAAUUCUUGCUCAUCGAAACUCCUUAUCCUCCCUCUUUCCUUCUCUGCAUCUGCACUCACAUCCAGGCCCAAAUUUAGAGAUAAGUUCAAUAUGUUCUGUCGAAAGUAGCGAGCUUCACCCCCUACCCACAAGACCAUCUUGUAUCUCUGUGAAUACCUGUAAGCAAAUUCCAAAGCAAGGUCAGUCUUUCCAACACCAGGGGCGCCAUUUAUGCACACAACACUGGCCCCCAAAUUCUUGUCCUUCCCGCUUCUUGAUUUUCUGUACUUGAGUCUCUUCAGCGAAUUUCUUCCAAUAAUUGGUUCCACCCAAGCUUCUUUAUUGGUUUCCUUGUUCUUUCCUAUUUCUAGAUUUAUAUAUUUGCCUCUGCUAGCAUCAGCUUCACUUUCAUCAUCAGCUAGACCUUCAGAUUGUCCUGGUGUUCCUCCUUUGACACUUGGGACCACACUUUCUUGCUCAAAGGAAUCCCCACAGCCGAAGAGAGUAGUCUCUAUCUCCAUAAUUUCUCUCUCUCUUCCCACAAAACUUUUAUUCCUCGGAAAGGGCAACUCUUCAAACCCUUCUGCUGUUUUUUCUGCAACACUUUUCCUACCAAGUUUGGCCCUUAAUAUCCCAGCUGCUUUAGACGCACAGGACCUCCAAUUACUCUCAUUUGUCUCCAAUUUAAACUCAUGACACUUUAGUAUUGCAUCCAGUACCUCUUUACAUUUCUUGGCAUCAGCAUUUCGGUUAAAUAGACUUGCAAUUUCAUUGGCAUCCGUAUUAAAGAACAAAGGAAUCAAGUUCUUCUUUUGCGCAAAGAAUCUUAUUUCCUCCAAGCUCAGAUGGUUGAAGAAGCUACAACUGGUGACAACUACGACGCCAAAGGUUACUGAGCAUAUAACUCGGUCAGCAAUCUCAUGGCUCUGAUUAUCUGCAUACUUUGCUCUAUCAGCAAUAAAACAAGCAAUACCCUGAAGCUCGAGUUCCGACUUGAGCCACUUGCAGAAGCGCGCUACAUUUAGGUUCUGACCGUGGAAUCCUAUAUACACAUCACAGCUCCUAAGUUUGGCAUUGGAUGCAGGUGAAAUGGAGCCCUUGGCAAAAGAAAUUCGAGGGACAGGAAAAGAAAAGGAUAUCCUGGGAUCGGUCUCUGGUCCUGAAACAGGGACACAGGUGACAAUUUUGAGCUUUGUGUCGGUAGGGUCAUCAGAAAAAUCAUAUCUUUCUGGAGGUGGAGUGUAGGAGGUGCUGGGAACAUCAUCGGACUGUGAACCGCAGUAUGACACUGGCGGGGAUGGGUGGGCAACUGAGGUAGGAGCAAUAGGAGUUUCUUGUUUUGGAUUAGCAACUAAAAUGGUGGGAGCAAUGAGGUUUUCUUGAGCACUUGGAUUUGUAACUAAAGUGGCCCUUGGAGAAAUGUAAGGUGAUUGCAAUGCUGAAACAAAUGCAGAAGAUGGAGGAGAGAUGAGUGAAGGAGAGUUAUAUGGUGAUGAUGUGGCUGAAUCUGCUACCAAUUUCUGCUGACCUGAAGGAACAACAGUGGAGAAAAUGUCCUUACCCAGCUUCUUACCGCCCGAAUUUGCAAUCUUGAUGGUAAGGGACUGGGUAUCAACAGUUGGGAUCUCUUUAGGAGAUUGCUCUUCAUUCAUUCUCAAAGUGAUGAAUGAGGAGUCUCCAAAAGCUUAGAAGUUGAACACUCUGAAAAAGCUUUGAGGAACCAAGGAGGUAACAAAAUGCUAUAUUUCAGUAGUUUUCAAUUCAGUAGAACCAUACUUGCCGGAUUGGAAUCAGGCGAAAAAAGACUGAUCUUGUUUCUGGAUACUUGGUAUGGAGUGUAAUCAGUUGCAAAUAAUUUGUGGUUGGGAUGGGAACACUCUCCUUGAAGAAGCAGAUGAAUGUAACAGUAAGACUUCUGAAAGCAGAAAGAAAUCUACAUGUGAAAGUCAUAUCUUCAUCUUCUAACUGUGGGCCUCCCUAAGUCAGAACUUAGAACCUGACUCUCGCUUUCACUGUGGAGGAACUUGAAUAGCUAAAAGGGUGUACGUCUUACAUUGGAAACAAGAAAGCCUUUACCUAAUUUGAUCCAUGUAGAAAACCAUCAUGAGACUAAAUCUCUCAGGGUGCAAGAGAAACUGGUUUGUUUACUUUACCUUGAUUUAGUUCGUUAAAGCUAAGAAAGGAAACAUAAUUUGCUUUGAGUCUGCUACCCUAGGGAUACAAUCUCCAUAUUUCUCUCUCCCAUGAACUAGCUUUACAGAUGGGGAAUCUAGUGAUAUGGGUUGGAUCUGUGAGGUUUUGAACAUAAAAUAUUACCAAAAUUGCUUCAAAAGAAGGUGCAGAGUGUAUGUGGUGUAAUAUUCUAUGUGCUUAGUUUAAUCCCUUUAUCUUGGGCUUAGCCAUUCUUUUUGUUUUAUGUGUCGUAAGAUUGCAUAUUUGAAAUUAGUAAAAGCAAAUUUUAUGCAUUAGUAUACUUUAUAAUUUUCUCUCUGUCACAGAAUCCAAUGUUUGGUCAGAAUGAAUACAGAGAAAAAAAAGGCAUUGGGAGAGGAACCAAAGACACUGUCUGUGUGACCUUGGUGGAAAUGAAGGAGAAAUGCCUCUCUGAAUGAAUAAAACCAAAUAUUGAUGUAUGCAAUGCAGGUUUGCUCUCUCUUCUGACGCAGUUUUCACUAUUUGCUCUGGGAAUUGGACCAAGACCAGUCCAACUCUAAGCACUAAAAACCAUUAAUAAUUUGAAAGCUCCACCUCUUCCCCUGGGGUCAUACUCACUCCACCCUACCCAUAUAUAAUUUCUCCAAGUGAAAUGCACGAAUUUAUUUCAAAUACAGUCCACAAUUUGGAAGCACUGGCAUAUAAAUAAAGAAAAAUAUAAGUGAAACUAAUAGCGGUAAAGUUAGCCAAACAAAACGAAGAAAGGAGGGAUUAGUCAUAGGCCCUUGCUAUCAGUUAGCCUUCAAAAAGGAAAUUUAUUGUUAGGUUAGAUCAAGGAUUCCAACUUUUGUGCAAUAAAAGCUCCCCCCUUUUAUUAUGAUGCUACUACCUCAUGAUGGUGCCCAAUUCAGAAAUUAAACCUACAAAAAGAAACGUAAAAACUAUUCUCGUUCACUUUUACUUGGCAUGUUUUGAUUUUUUAUGUCCCUAAGAAAUAAUAAAUAAAAUACAUAAUUUAUCAUGAUAUUCAUAUUAAUUGAUGCAUAUUUUAUUGGACUUAAGAAAAAUAAUUUAAAAUGAGUAAUAAAUAUUAUGGGUAUAACAGGAAAAAAAAUUCUCUUCUCUUGAUAUGCGUAAAGUUUUUUACUGGAUCAUUGUUGUUGUUUGAUAUGCGUAAAGUGAUAAGCAGAAAUAAAAAGUUAUUUUUAGUAUACUCGUCAUGUAAGAUUGGACAGAGGGAAUAUUAUUUUGACUUAAACAGUGACCCCUCUAUAGCCUGUUUGGCUAUGCUUCUAAAAUCAGCUUAUUUUGAAAAGUAUUUUUUCUCAUAAGUACUUUUCAAAAAAUUACUUUUGGCGAGAAACAGUUUGUGUUUGGCUAAUUAAUUUAAAAAAUACUUUUGAGCAGUAAUUAGUGUUUGACCAAGCUUUUAAAAACUGCUUCUAAGUGUAUUUUUCUCAAAAGUGCUUCUUAGAAAAAUGCUUUUGGAGAGAAGCUACCUUUUUCUGCUUCUCAAAAAUUGUUUAUGCUUCUCCUCAAAAGUAAUUUUUUUUCUUCUAUAAGUUUGGCCAAACACCUCAAUUUUUUAUCAAAAAAACUUUUAGCCAAAAAGUAAUUUUGACCUAAAAAAAACUUACCAAUCAGGCUACUAGUCUGUCGGCGGCUGUGACCAUGCUAAGAAGUUGGAAGCCUUUUAGUUUUGAAUUACUGUUGUUUGCCACAUUUACUACUUUUUCUUGGCUUAGUUUCAUUUUGACUUUUGAGUUACCAAAUUAUUAAGCAUUUAUUACGUUAUUAUGACAAAUAUAAUCAAGAGCAGUCAUUUUAGCGUUUCUUAUUCUUACAACCUGCCUGCUGCAUGUGCAUUCAACACUUCUUAAUUGGUGUUGGAAUUUAAUAUACUCUCUCCCUCUGUUCCAAUUUAUGUGAACCUAUUUCUUUUUUGGUCCGUUCCAAAAAGAAUAAAUCCUUUUUAAAUUUGGUAACAAUUUAGCUUAAAAUUACAACUUUACCCUUAAUGAAAAGCUUUUAUAAUCACACAAAUACUCUGGGCCCCAUUUGGACUUGUUUAGGACCACAAAUUCCAAAUGUCUUCAUUUUUUUCUUAAACUUCAUACUCAAUCAAACAGGUUCACAUAAAUUGAAACGGAGGGAGUACUCGCGACCUGAUAUUUCUUUUUUAUUGUAAUGGAAUCAUUAAGAAAUCCUCCUCUCCAAUGGCCAAAAUUUCGUAAUGUGUUACUCCACAUGUCAAGACGUUGAGGUUGCAACUAAGUGGUUCAAUUCAUUUUAAAUUGGUCUUUUACUCUCUUAUUUGAAUUGAAAGAAAGUAAAAAAAUCUUUCUUUUGUUCUUCUUUAUUUUUUUCUUUAUUCCGUCGAGAAAUUUUGGUUAUGACUAAUGCUCCAUUAGCUAGAUAAAAGUAAUAUAUAUAUAUAUUAUUUAGUCGUAAAAAUAAAGUGCACCUUGAGUUAAACUCGACGAAUUGCGUUUUGAAUCUCUUUAAAGAAUCAACAAAAAAGGGUCAUAUAUGUCAGUGAACUAUGUGAAUUAGGACAGAUAUGCCCGUCGUUAAUAGUUUGGCACAUAUAUGCCCAAUCCGUCCAAUACUUGCUCAUUUAUGCCCUUAGUUUAACGGAAUCACUAUUUUGUCUUUCUUAAAUAAUUAAUAAUCGAACACAACCAAAAUUCGUUGACCCGAUAUGUUAGGACCCGACCCACCCUUAUUUCAAAGAUAUUUUUGAUAUAUUAUUUUUCUUUGAUUGAGAAAUUGUGUAAUGAUCAUAUUUAUUUAUUCGAGUAAUUUGAUAAUCUGUUUUUUUUGUUAUACAUCAUUUCGGGAAGUAAUCCUACUAAAAGUAGUAACUGAUUUUUAUUUAUUAUUUUAAUAAUAUAAUAUUUGAAUUAACAGUGAUGCUUGUUAUGAAAUAAUAUUUGUUAUGAAAUAAUUAAUUAAUAAAAAUGGAAAAGAAACACCAUUGUUUUAACAAUUUAUUACUUAUUUCAUAACAAAUUUGUAAUGCAGAAAAAUAAUCCAAUAAAUUAAUAAUCAAUCAUAUAAUGAUCACUUAUCUAAACCAAAAAAAAUGGAUCCAUCAGGUUAAGUUAUAGUAAACAUGGAGUUAUUUAUAUUUGUAUUGGUGAAAAAUAAUAAUAUAUUGUGAGAAAAAUAAAAAUAGAUGGUAAAAUGAUCGAAUAAAGCACAAACUAAUUUGAAUAUUAUAUUAUUUAAAUAAUAAAUAAAUACCAAUUACUACUUUUAGUAAGAUUACUUCCCGAAAUGAUGUAUAACAAAAAAAAUCGAUUAUCAAAUUACUCAAAUAAAUAAAAAUAAUUAUCACACAAUUUCUCAAUCAAACAAAAAUAAUAUAUCAAAAAAUAUCUUGGAAAUAAGGAUGGGUCGGGUCCGAACGGAUCGGGUCAGCAGAUUUGGGUUGGGUCUGAUCAUUCAUUAAUUAAGAAAGACAAAAUAGUGCAUCUAUUAAAGUAAGGGCAUGAAUGAGUAAGUAUUUGACUGAUUGGGCAUAUCUGUGCAAACUAUUAACGACGGACAUAUCUGUCCUAAUUCGCAUAGUUCACUGUAAAAAUUACACGGGGCGCCCUAUUUGGUCACCCCCAUUUAACCUUUACCCUUUUUUUUAAAACUCAUAACUUUACCCACUUUUUAAAUAACUUCAGCCUUCUUUCUCCUCUUCCUUCUUCUUCUUCUCCUUCUCCUUCUUCUCCUUCUCCAUCUCCUUUUCCUCCUUCUCCUUCUCCUCCUUCUCUUCCUUCUUCUUCUUCUCCUUAUGAUCCUUUUCCUUCUCCUUCUUCUUCUCAUCCUUCUCCUCCUUCUUCUUCUUCUUCUCCUUCUCAUUCUCCUUCUCCUUUUUCUCCUUCUCCUUCUUCUCCUUCUCCUCCUCCUCCUCUCUCUCUCUCUCUCUCUCUCUCUCUCUCNNNNNNNNNNNNNNNNNNNNNNNNNNNNNNNNNNNNNNNNNNNNNNNNNNNNNNNNNNUCUUCUUCUUCUUCUUCUCCUCAUCGUCCAAUUCAUAAUCUUAUAGAGAAUCGAAGGAAUCACCUAGACUUAUUCUUUUUACUUUCUCAUGUACAUAAUAAUGAUGUGAAUGCUUGAAUUAGUUAAAAAAUGAAUUAAGUUGACAAAGUUGAACAUAUACCAUGCUAUAAAUAUCACCAUUGCUAUUGUCAGUUUCCUCACCAAGAAAUCCAAAAGGAAAACAAGCUAGAUAUGGCUAAAUACACAACCUUCGUUGCCCUUCUCUUCUGUCUUCUCCUUGUCGCUGCUACUGGUGAGUCAAAUUAAGUAGCUUAUUUUUUUUAAUCAAAUUAAAGGAUUGGGAUGUUCAGGAUUGUCCCAAGAUACAAAACAAAAACUUCCUUCGAUAAAAGCUUCAGCUCUAGAGCUGAAGUUCGCCAGUUACAAAAAAAAAAA